UAGGUCCAACAGCCUCUGCAUCCUCGAA
RNAcentral lists this small RNA (28 nucleotides) under Bombyx mori (domestic silkworm). RNAcentral describes it as "ovarian small RNA-22766". Lineage: Eukaryota; Metazoa; Arthropoda; Insecta; Lepidoptera; Bombycidae. The record is from RNAcentral.